CUCUUCGGGGAUGAUUAAACCGGCGCACGGGUGAGUAACACGUGAGUGACCUGCCUUUUAGACUGGAACAACUUACCGAAAGGUGAGCUAAUGCCGGAUGAGUUAUAUAAGUGCAUGUUUAUAUAGGAAAAGUUGGGGAGACCUGACGCUGAAAGAUGGACUCGCGUCCCAUUAGCUAGUUGGUAGGGUAAUGGCCUACCAAGGCGACGAUGGGUAGCCGGCCUGAGAGGGUGGCCGGCCACACUGGGACUGAGACACGGCCCAGACUCCUACGGGAGGCAGCAGUGGGGAAUUUUGCGCAAUGCUCGUAAGAGUGACGCAGCGACGCCGCGUGAAUGACGAAGGCCUUCGGGUCGUAAAGUUCUUUCGACAGGGAAGAAAAUGCCUAUAAGUAACUGUGUAUGUAUUGACGGUACCUGUAUAAGCAGCCCCGUCUAACUCCGUGCCAGCAGCCGCGGUAAUACGGAGGGGGCGAGCGUUGUUCGGAGUGACUGGGCGUAAAGAGCACGUAGGCGGUGUUGUAAGUCAUUAGUCAAAGACUAGAGCUCAACUUUAGUAAGGCUAGUGAUACUAUAAUACUAGAGUAUCAGAGAGGAUUGCAGAAUUCCUGGUGUAGCGGUGAAAUGCGUAGAUAUCAGGAGGAAUACCGUUAGCGAAGGCGGCAAUCUGGCUGGAAACUGACGCUGAGGUGCGAAAGCGUGGGUAGCAAACAGGAUUAGAUACCCUGGUAGUCCACGCUGUAAACGAUGGAUGCUAGGUGUUGGGCUUUUAAGUUCAGUGCCGCAGCAAACGCGAUAAGCAUCCCGCCUGGGGAG
RNAcentral lists this ribosomal RNA (815 nucleotides) under uncultured bacterium. RNAcentral's name for it is "bacterial SSU rRNA". It matches the Rfam family "Bacterial small subunit ribosomal RNA", at positions 76 to 880 of the family's 1533-position model. The record is from RNAcentral.